AUUUCAUUUUUUUUUUCUCUUCUUAUUAAAUUACACAUUUUUUAAUAAAAUAAUAUUACACGUAAAUUUAAAAAAAAUUCUUUCUUUUUUAACCAAACAUUCUCCUAAAAGUUUUAACACUCUCAUUACAACGUGAAUAAUGAGGUCAAAUGAGAGAUGAAUUUAUUUAUUUUUCACUUUAUAAUUCAGUAAAAGUGGAAUGAUUUUUGGAGUAGGAAAGACUGCUUCGUUUAUAGUCAUAAAUUAUCUAUGAAAAACUUAUGUAGCCCCCAUUGGUGGAAUUAAAAUCAAUUUUUUUAAUAAAUUUUAAUAAAAAUUGAUGAAAUACUGUCGUCAUCCAUAUCAAAAUAUGACACCACACAGUGAAUUACACAGAAGGAUGAAAAUAUUCGUCCGACAAUUUUAUUUCCACAAGAAGAUGAUGAUAACAACAUAAACAGAAGAAAGAAAAACAUGAGUAAUAUAAUCUCAGUAUGAAAUAAAAGAAGCCAAGCGCUUGAUCAGAUCCUUUGCUUUCUCUGUUUCAGGAUUGAACAUAUGGAAGCAAUGAUCUUCUCCUUCAACCUCCACCAUCUCCACCUCCCCAUUCCAGCCACUUUUCUUUACAGUCUCAACAUAAAGAACUCCUCUCGACCUAAAUGGAUCCUUCUCUGCUACACAAACCAGCAGCCUUGAACACCCCAGCCCCGAUAAACUCGGCGCAUCUUCUACAAAUGGAUUGAUCAUCGCAUUGUCAAUCCCACCAGGAGCUGACGGAUAAGCAAAUAACCACAUCUUACAUGCUACAUUCUGCUCAAUUUCUUCUUUUGUUUCGGACCCGAUUGGCUUUGAUCCCCAGAAGUAAGGAUGAGACAGGAAUGCGCCCACAAUUUUCACAUCCCCGGGCAAAGGUUCUGCCCCAGCUCGGAGAAGAAUAUUAUGAACUAUAUUGCCUCCAGCACUGUCGCCACCUAUAUAGAUUUUACUGAAAUCACUGUGUUCAGUUAGCCAUGGUUCCUUUUCGAUGCCCGGUUUUUCAGUAACGUGCGAAGAUACCCAUUGAAGACCAGUCCAGGAAUCUUCAUAUGCUAUAGGCAAAGGGUGUUGAGGGGCGAGCCGGUAUUCAACAGAAACGAUUAAAGCUUUUGCUUCGGCCGCUAACAUGCUAAUGUAACGUUUCUCGAGGGAAUUGAAGGCGGAUCCGAUGCAAAAUCCACCGCCAUGGUAAUAAACCAAAACUGGGAGCUUUUGUUUUGGUUCUGUGAGUGUUGGGAGGUAUAGUCUGGCUUGAACCACUGGCGUAAUGUUCAAGUCUUUAGAAACUACGCCAGUGGCAGCGUCAUCCGGCGACGGAGGAACAUAGGGUGAAUCAAUGAGCCUCUCGACGGUGCCAUCUUUAUAUAGUUUGAUGACUGGAGAGAGGUCGAUGAGAACCUCUUUGUUGGUGUCCGAAGCCAUGGCAAUGUGGUUGAUAGAAAGAAAAUCAGUAGAUAGCGUUAGAUUUAUAAACUAAACAUUUGUCGGUGAACUGUACAUGCCAAGAGAUUCCGUAAAGAAAAAUCCUGCGUAAUUGUGAAGAAAAAUUGUAGGGGCCGUAAAGAUUGGGGUUUAAUUUGAUUGGUUUGCUUUCAUGAAUGCUUUUGAUUUUUCAUUGCAGAUAAAGAUACUUUUGAAAUUAUAACAAUCUGUCUCUUAUUUUUCGCAAUUCAACUUGGACUUUACUUGUUCGAGAAGAAUUUUGCCAUUUCAAAACGUUUUGGCCAGGGAAAACUGUUUUUCUUUAAAAUUGCCGUUUGAAAGUUUGUGACAAACUGCCAAACUUGGUAUACACUUCGUACACCAAACAUGAUUGGUUUGAAAAUAAGGGGAUUUGGGGAGAGCCUAUUUUGACACAUGAAUUUUUGUGGGAAUAAAGAACUGUGAAUGAAACUUUUUAAUUCGUUAUUAGGGUUGUCAAUUUAGAGGUUUUUUAAAGCAAAACACAUGUCAAAAUGGGGGGUUUUGAAGAUUACAAAGGGUGAAGAAAUUCAAGCUUGG
RNAcentral lists this long non-coding RNA (2016 nucleotides) under Olea europaea subsp. europaea. Lineage: Eukaryota; Viridiplantae; Streptophyta; Magnoliopsida; Lamiales; Oleaceae. The record is from RNAcentral.